CCUACGGGAGGCAGCAGUGAGGAAUAUUGGACAAUGGGCGGGAGCCUGAACCAGCCAAGCCGCGUGAAGGAAUAAGGCGCCACGCGUUGUAAACUUCUUUUGUCGGGGAGCAAAGUGCGCCACGUGUGCCGUUCUGAGUGUACCCGACGAACAAGCAUCGGGUAACUCCGUUCCAGCAGCCGCGGUAAUCCGGACGAGGCGAGCGUUAUCCGGAUUUGUGGGGUUGAAGGGGUGCGUGGGCGGUUCGGAAAGUCAGCGGUAAAAGCGCGGGGCUCAACCCCGGCGCGCAGUUGAAACUGUCGGACUAGAGUCGGCGAGAGGUACGCGGAAUGCGCGGUGUAGCGGUGAAAUGCAUAGAUAUCGCGCAGAACUCUGGUUGCGAAGGUAGCUUACCGGAGAGGAACUGACGCUGAGGCACGAAGGCGUGGGUAGCGAAAAGGAUUAGAUACCCUUGUAGUC
Molecule: ribosomal RNA, 459 nt
Filed under: uncultured bacterium
Lineage: Bacteria
Description: partial 16S ribosomal RNA
Rfam family: Bacterial small subunit ribosomal RNA
Source: RNAcentral